AUUGAACGCUGGCGGCAUGCUUUACACAUGCAAGUCGAACGGCAGCGCGGGCUUCGGCCUGGCGGCGAGUGGCGAACGGGUGAGUAAUGCAUCGGAACGUGCCCAGUAGUGGGGGAUAGCCCGGCGAAAGCCGGAUUAAUACCGCAUACGACCUGAGGGUGUACGCGGGGGACCGAAAGGCCUCGCGCUAUUGGAGCGGCCGAUGUCGGAUUAGCUAGUUGGUGGGGUAAAGGCUUACCAAGGCGACGAUCCGUAGCUGGUCUGAGAGGACGACCAGCCACACUGGGACUGAGACACGGCCCAGACUCCUACGGGAGGCAGCAGUGGGGAAUUUUGGACAAUGGGGGCAACCCUGAUCCAGCCAUGCCGCGUGCGGGAAGAAGGCCUUCGGGUUGUAAACCGCUUUUGUUCGGGAAGAAAUCCUCUGGGCUAAUACCCCGGGGGGAUGACGGUACCGGAAGAAUAAGCACCGGCUAACUACGUG
Molecule: ribosomal RNA, 484 nt
Filed under: uncultured bacterium
Lineage: Bacteria
Description: partial 16S ribosomal RNA
Rfam family: Bacterial small subunit ribosomal RNA
Source: RNAcentral